RNAcentral lists this ribosomal RNA (262 nucleotides) under uncultured bacterium. RNAcentral describes it as "partial 16S ribosomal RNA". It matches the Rfam family "Bacterial small subunit ribosomal RNA", at positions 99 to 354 of the family's 1533-position model. The record is from RNAcentral.
CGCACGGGUGAGUAACACGUGAGUGACCUGCCUUUUAGACUGGAACAACUUACCGAAAGGUGAGCUAGUGCCGGAUGAGUUAUAUAAGUGCAUGUUUAUAUAGGAAAAGUUGGGGAGACCUGACGCUGAAAGAUGGACUCGCGUCCCAUUAGCUAGUUGGUAGGGUAAUGGCCUACCAAGGCGACGAUGGGUAGCCGGCCUGAGAGGGUGGCCGGCCACACUGGGACUGAGACACGGCCCAGACUCCUACGGAAGGCAGCAG